GACGAACGCUGGCGGCGUGCCUAAUACAUGCAAGUCGAACGCUUCUUUCCUCCCGAGUGCUUGCACUCAUUUGGAAAGAGGAGUGGCGGACGGGUGAGUAACACGUGGGUAACCUACCCAUCAGAGGGGGAUAACACUUGGAAACAGGUGCUAAUACCGCAUAACAGUUUAUGCCGCAUGGCAUAAGAGUGAAAGGCGCUUUCGGGUGUCACUGAUGGAUGGACCCGCGGUGCAUUAGCUAGUUGGUGAGGUAACGGCUCACCAAGGCCACGAUGCAUAGCCGACCUGAGAGGGUGAUCGGCCACACUGGGACUGAGACACGGCCCAGACUCCUACGGGAGGCAGCAGUAGGGAAUCUUCGGCAAUGGACGAAAGUCUGACCGAGCAACGCCGCGUGAGUGAAGAAGGUUUUCGGAUCGUAAAACUCUGUUGUUAGAGAAGAACAAGGACGUUAGUAACUGAACGUCCCC
This 470-nucleotide ribosomal RNA is filed under the name Enterococcus faecalis. RNAcentral describes it as "bacterial SSU rRNA". It matches the Rfam family "Bacterial small subunit ribosomal RNA", at positions 28 to 479 of the family's 1533-position model. Lineage: Bacteria; Bacillati; Bacillota; Bacilli; Lactobacillales; Enterococcaceae. The record is from RNAcentral.